UACGAAGGGGGCUAGCGUUGCUCGGAAUUACUGGGCGUAAAGCGCACGUAGGCGGCUUUCUAAGUCGGGGGUGAAAUCCUGGAGCUCAACUCCAGAACUGCCUUCGAUACUGGAAGGCUUGAAUCCGGGAGAGGGAUGCGGAAUUCCAGGUGUAGCGGUGAAAUGCGUAGAUAUCUGGAGGAACACCGGUGGCGAAGGCGGCAUCCUGGACCGGUAUUGACGCUGAGGCGCGAAAGCCAGGGGAGCAAACGGG
Molecule: ribosomal RNA, 253 nt
Filed under: uncultured bacterium
Lineage: Bacteria
Description: partial 16S ribosomal RNA
Rfam family: Bacterial small subunit ribosomal RNA
Source: RNAcentral